Molecule: non-coding RNA, 24 nt
Filed under: Arabidopsis thaliana (thale cress)
Lineage: Eukaryota; Viridiplantae; Streptophyta; Magnoliopsida; Brassicales; Brassicaceae
Source: RNAcentral
AGUCUUGUAGAGAUGGUCACCCUU